RNAcentral lists this long non-coding RNA (202 nucleotides) under Mytilus galloprovincialis (Mediterranean mussel). The record is from RNAcentral. Lineage: Eukaryota; Metazoa; Mollusca; Bivalvia; Mytilida; Mytilidae.
UUAAAGGAGUAGGUCCGGUAAGGAUCAAUUUUGGCCUCAAAUUUCAAGUUCAUCUGACGAAUGAAUUUGACCUCUUUUUAAACACUUAAGUGUCUUUUUCAUUUGAAUCAAUUAGUUUAUGUGAAAGAUUUUAACUGGUUUAGUCAUUGAAAACGAUCCGAUUCAAGCUCAAAUAUGAAAAAUCUACCAAAUAUGUCAAAAA